UACGGGGGAGGCAAGCGUUGUUCGGAAUUACUGGGCGUAAAGGGCGCGUAGGCGGUUCGGCAAGUCGGGUGUGAAAUCCCUGGGCUUAACCUGGGAACUGCAGUCGAUACUGGCGGACUAGAGUACGGUAGAGGGUGGCGGAACUCCGGGUGUAGCGGUGAAAUGCGUAGAUAUCCGGAAGAACACCGAUGGUGAAGGCAACCACCUGGGCCUGUACUGACGCUGAGGUACGAAAGCGUGGGGAGCAAACAGG
This 253-nucleotide ribosomal RNA is filed under the name uncultured bacterium. RNAcentral's name for it is "partial 16S ribosomal RNA". It matches the Rfam family "Bacterial small subunit ribosomal RNA", at positions 524 to 776 of the family's 1533-position model. The record is from RNAcentral.